Molecule: ribosomal RNA, 252 nt
Filed under: uncultured bacterium
Lineage: Bacteria
Description: partial 16S ribosomal RNA
Rfam family: Bacterial small subunit ribosomal RNA
Source: RNAcentral
CGAAGGUGCGAGCGUUGUUCGGAAUGACUGGGCGUAAAGGGUUCGUAGGCGGGAAGACAAGUUCAGUGUGAAAUCCCCAGGCUCAACCUGGGACGUGCCCUGAAAACUGUUUUCUUUGAGUGUUGGAGAGGGUGGUGGAAUUGCUGGUGUAGGAGUGACAUCCGUAGAGAUCAGCAGGAACACCGGAGGCGAAGGCGACCACCUGGCCACACACUGACGCUGAGGAACGAAAGCGUGGGAGCAAACAGGAUU